CCUACGGGUGGCAGCAGUGGGGAAUAUUGCACAAUGGGGGGAACCCUGAUGCAGCGACGCCGCGUGAGCGAGGAAGUAUUUCGGGAUGUAAAGCUCUAUCAGCAGGGACGAAAAAAGACGGUACCGGACUAAGAAGCCCCGGCUAACUACGUGCCAGCAGCCGCGGUAAUACGUAGGGGGCAAGCGUUAUCCGGAUUUACGGGGUGUAAAGGGAGCGUAGACGGCAAGGCAAGCCAGAAGGGAAAGGGCAGGGCUCAACCCUGUACAUGCUUUUGGAACUGUGGUGCUAGCGUGCAGGAGCGGUAAGUGUAAUUCCUAGUGUAGCGGUGAAAUGCGUAGAUAUUAGUCGGAACACCAGUGGCGAAGGCGGCUUACUGGACUGUAACUGCCGUUGAGGCUCGAAAGCGUGGGGAGCAAACAGGAUUAGAUACCCGAGUAGUC
Molecule: ribosomal RNA, 441 nt
Filed under: uncultured bacterium
Lineage: Bacteria
Description: partial 16S ribosomal RNA
Rfam family: Bacterial small subunit ribosomal RNA
Source: RNAcentral